CCUUAAGUUUAUGUGUGCCCUCCACAACACAGAAACAGGGCCAUGGUAAGCAAGUCACCGCCUACUUCCGACAAGUGCACUCCGCCUUUUCUUAAAGUACCCGGGCAGUAUGCCCUCCAAUUCCCUAUGCCGCACCUCCACAUCACCUACUCUCCGAAUAAAAACCGGCAUGGUUUUAUUCACCUUUCCCCGACAUCAAGCCACCACAGCUGGAUCACUGACAUGUCUCCAAUUAAACAGGCACAAUUUCUGACCAUACCACCACCAUGCCAGAAACCGGCUCCCGCAGCUGAUCCACAUCCCUCUUCAUCCACCGGACUAACUCCCUUCGGGGAACUAAACCUAAAUCAUUCCCCCCGCCAUGAAUUAACACCAUGUUCGGGGUGGCCCCACCGCAACCCACCUGAAAAUCGCUCCACUGAUUCUCUGCCAACUGAAUCCCUGAAAGCCAAACCAAACCAACGCCACCAUCUGCAGAGAAAAGCCUAGCUGUGCUCCUUGUCUCCGAACUGCGGCCCUCUUCUGUGCCCAGUAGAUGUAGGAGUGUCCCACCAGCCAGGCAACCCAACCUAAAAAGAAACAAGACAAUGACACAGCAGAGCAACAUCGAAACAAUCCCCUACCAACCCCCAUCACACCAACCUGUCCGGCCUUAAAUACAAACAGAACCAAAUAGAUUCCCACCUCCCUUUUCGUUUAAUCCGCUCUUCCCCCAAGCCAAGGCGCACUGCCUCCGUUGCUGCUCCUAUCCUGAACAAGUGCGUCCCAAACUGCAUGGCGUCCCAAUCUCUGAAGACCUAAGCGGAAGACCCUAACAAACUGAAACCGAGGCAGCGCAUAACCAUCAGCAUGUACCAAAUGAUGGGGGUUCUUUGGAAUUUUCCCACGCUGUGUAAUUUAACUCAUAACUCUCUGAUUGGUGGAUUAAGUAACCAAUCAGAGAGUUAUGAGUCAGCCACGUCCGGCCCCCCCGUCAGAGGCCCAUACCUUCCCGAACUGCGACGACGAAACCCCUCCACCUGACCAGGAAUCUAAAAAUGAUCUCAAACAGCUCAACAGAGUCCCUGAGUGUGGUGCAUGCAGCGACUCACCGCCAGGACCCCUGGCCGUCUGUUCGGAUGAACUCCCACCUGCCCUUCCUCCCCACGCUCUCGCCUGCUAUGCCUCUCCCUGCUCAGCCCUGCUACCUGGCCCUCACAGCCGUAAGUGGUACACCCUCGCGAACUCCUGUCAGACAAUCUAGAUGCGCUGCACAGAUUCCUCCUAUUCCUAUCCCUUGAAUCUGACCUCCUCCUACUGCGCCGGCUGGGUGAUGGGCUAUGCCACCAGGACCAGACUCACCGGGAUGUGUCAGGGUGCCUCCACCGACAUCCUCACGCCCAGCCGCACUCCCGUCCUCGUGGGAACCCACCACCUGUUGUGCCGUCCCGCCAGCCGCCUUGUGGCGGGCAUGCUCCGCACGGGGAGCCUUGUCCUGGCCGUCGUCCUCGCCCGGCCGACACCAGGUCGGACAGACGGCACCGGCCGCAUGCUCACCUCCUCCGGUCCUCCAGCCUCCGCGCCACUCGACGUCUCCUCACUUCCGGCACCAUACCCAGACUCCGCCGCUAGGGCGGCAGCGUCCACAGCGCCAGUCGCCGCUCAGGGACCGGCAGCCGCACUUGUCUCACCCAGUUGCUCCUGAAGCCAGGCCAUCCCCUGGUCUCUCACCACUGCUCAGACACCCACCAAGAUCUAGU
This 1739-nucleotide long non-coding RNA is filed under the name Pelobates cultripes (western spadefoot toad). The record is from RNAcentral. Lineage: Eukaryota; Metazoa; Chordata; Amphibia; Anura; Pelobatidae.